Transfer RNA from Thermoplasmatales archaeon I-plasma, 73 nucleotides. It matches the Rfam family "tRNA". Rfam says of the family: Transfer RNA (tRNA) molecules are approximately 80 nucleotides in length. Their secondary structure includes four short double-helical elements and three loops (D, anti-codon, and T loops). NCBI's taxonomy places the organism in Archaea, Methanobacteriati, Thermoplasmatota, Thermoplasmata, Thermoplasmatales. The record is from Rfam.
GCCCCGAUAGUGUAGUGGCCUAUCAUCCGAGUCUGUCGAGCUCGGGACACGGGUUCAAAUCCCGUUCGGGGCG